Molecule: ribosomal RNA, 493 nt
Filed under: uncultured bacterium
Lineage: Bacteria
Description: partial 16S ribosomal RNA
Rfam family: Bacterial small subunit ribosomal RNA
Source: RNAcentral
GGAUGAACGCUAGCUACAGGCUUAACACAUGCAAGUCGAGGGGAAACGACAUCGAAAGCUUGCUUUUGAUGGGCGUCGACCGGCGCACGGGUGAGUAACGCGUAUCCAACCUGCCCAUCACUUGGGGAUAACCUUGCGAAAGUAAGACUAAUACCCAAUGAUAUCUCUAGAAGACAUCUGAAAGAGAUUAAAGAUUUAUCGGUGAUGGAUGGGGAUGCGUCUGAUUAGCUUGUUGGCGGGGUAACGGCCCACCAAGGCAACGAUCAGUAGGGGUUCUGAGAGGAAGGGGCCCGACAGUGGAACUGAGACACGGGCCAAACACCUACGGGAGGCAGCAGUGAGGAAGAUUGGUCAAUGGGCGAGAGCCUGAACCAGCCAAGUAGCGUGCAGGAAGACGGCCCUAUGGGUUGUAAACUGCUUUUAGAAGGGAAUAAAGUGAGAGGCGUGACUCUUUUUGUAUGUACCUGAUGAAUAAGGACCGGCUAAUUCCGUG